CUGGGGAUAUAGCUCAGUUGGUAGAGUGCUUGUCUCACAUGCAGAAGGCCCUGGGUUCAAUCCCCAGCACCAGG
RNAcentral lists this transfer RNA (74 nucleotides) under Marmota monax (woodchuck). Its description in RNAcentral is "tRNA.Val". It matches the Rfam family "tRNA". Rfam says of the family: Transfer RNA (tRNA) molecules are approximately 80 nucleotides in length. Their secondary structure includes four short double-helical elements and three loops (D, anti-codon, and T loops). Lineage: Eukaryota; Metazoa; Chordata; Mammalia; Rodentia; Sciuridae. The record is from RNAcentral.